Long non-coding RNA from Leopardus geoffroyi (Geoffroy's cat), 1460 nucleotides. RefSeq lists it as uncharacterized. The record is from RefSeq and is a predicted model, not a curated record. The transcript has 7 exons. NCBI's taxonomy places the organism in Eukaryota, Metazoa, Chordata, Mammalia, Carnivora, Felidae.
AGUCCAGGCGAAGGGCACGCACGGACGCCUUCGCAGCCGAGAUCGCGUCCUCCCGCCUUCUCCCCGCGUGAUUUUGACCGCCACGACUCCCCCUGUUGAUUCCAUGAAACACACAACUCCCUCCUUGCCUCCCUGGAGUGGCAAACCGGGAGAGGAGCCCAGAAUGGUAAGCAGGAGCCAGCAUGCCAUCUCCCAGGAGCCUGAGCCAGGGCCUCUCACUUAGGUCUAGUUUCUUGUCCAAGACACCGCCUCUGCCUUUUGCAACAUUGCAAUGAUUGGCGAAAAGAAUGACCUCAUCUCUCUGGCUCAAUCUUGCCCAAUCUCUGGAACCUUCUAUGACUCAGGCAUGCAGAUUCUGGUUCCAACCCCGCCCGAGGGUUGAGCUUGCAGUUUGCAAUUCUCAAGGAAGACAUUUUUUCCUCCUGUACUGCCUGCUACCAGAUGGGUGUUUCAGGAGAGAUUCAUGCAUCCACCACAGAAAUGCCUGAGAUAUACCAGGACAGAGGAACCUUCCAGCAAGCCUUUUAUCUGGCUUCACAAGGAACAAGUGCGUUGUAAUGCUGAGUCCCCCUCAGACUACACCCACACAGCUAUAAAGACACAUCUACCUACACGGGAAAGAAUGUGAGCCUGAGAAUGAGGACCAACCUCUCCUAAAAUGAGAACUCACUCCCUGUCUUACUCAUAAGUGGCACCAAUGUAUACUUCAUGAGGACAGAUUUCAUGCCUGGCUCAUUUCACUGUUAUAUACAUAACCAUCUAGCACACUAUCUGGUCCUCAAGAAAUGAUUGAAUAAAUAGACUCCUAAAAUGAAUGGAAAGUUCCUCAAAGGCGGGGAUUAUGUAUUACACACUUCUGUGUAGCUAUUUUUAAACUUGACAUGUAAUAUACCUAAAGUGUACUAAUCUUAAAUGUAGAGACUAAAGUUUUUAAAAUAUAUCUGUAUAUCUACACUAUAAUCCCUGAAAUGAAUAUAUAAAGCAUUUUCCUAUAGUCCUUUCCCCAGUGCUGAGGAAGUAGGAGAUAUAUGUCAAUAUUUAUCUAUACUCAUUGAUUCAUUAAAUGGUCUCCAGCUACCGUUGUAUAUGGUUCAGUGUCAGUUCAUUCCUGUUUUCCCUGGUUCAAUGGUUCUCAAAUUCUAGCCUUCAUCAGAAUUACUUACAAGGCUUGUAGAAACAGAUUACUGGGCUCCACCCCCAGAUUUUCUGAUUUAGAAGGUCUAUGGUAGAGUUUGAGAAUAUGCUUUUUGAACAAGGUAAUGUUGAUAUGGCUCUAGAGGUGAGGAAGAGGGGGUCUUCCUAAGGGUAUAAAAUAUCUCCCAUUGUCUGACUAUUAAAUGUCUGGUUAGGGGUUCUUCACCUUUUCUUUGUAACAGGUGGCCUGGGCAGCAUGGUGAAGACCCUGUACUCCUCAGAAAAUAUUUCUAAAUUGAAUGAAAUAAAAUACCUAGGACUCCAAA